GAGAAAUCUUAAUCGUGAUUAAGCAGAAGUCAGCAGAGACCAUAGUAGUCAAAUACCUUGCCUAAUAGCUUGGACACGGCGAAGGG
Molecule: non-coding RNA, 86 nt
Filed under: uncultured Cycloclasticus sp.
Lineage: Bacteria; Pseudomonadati; Pseudomonadota; Gammaproteobacteria; Thiotrichales; Piscirickettsiaceae
Source: RNAcentral